Molecule: ribosomal RNA, 514 nt
Filed under: uncultured Bacillus sp.
Lineage: Bacteria; Bacillati; Bacillota; Bacilli; Caryophanales; Bacillaceae
Description: bacterial SSU rRNA
Rfam family: Bacterial small subunit ribosomal RNA
Source: RNAcentral
AGUCUGACGGAGCACGCCGCGUGACGAUGAAGGCCUUCGGGUCGUAAAGUUCUGUUGUCAGGGAAGAACAAGUACCGGAGUAACUGCCGGUACCUUGACGGUACCUGACCAGAAAGCCACGGCUAACUACGUGCCAGCAGCCGCGGUAAUACGUAGGUGGCAAGCGUUGUCCGGAAUUAUUGGGCGUAAAGCGCGCGCAGGCGGUUCCUUAAGUCUGAUGUGAAAGCCCCCGGCUCAACCGGGGAGGGUCAUUGGAAACUGGGGAACUUGAGUGCAGAAGAGGAGAGCGGAAUUCCACGUGUAGCGGUGAAAUGCGUAGAGAUGUGGAGGAACACCAGUGGCGAAGGCGGCUCUCUGGUCUGUAACUGACGCUGAGGCGCGAAAGCGUGGGGAGCGAACAGGAUUAGAUACCCUGGUAGUCCACGCCGUAAACGAUGAGUGCUAAGUGUUAGAGGGUUUCCGCCCUUUAGUGCUGCAGCAAACGCAUUAAGCACUCCGCCUGGGGAGUACGGCC